UGUGACGACGGGCUGGACGCGCCGUCGCUGGAGGCGAUGCGCCGCGCCGCCGCCGCCUGCCGCGCCGACGCCGACGCUGACGACGACGCCGACGGCGAGGACGAGAGGGAGGAGAACGUGACGUACGACGCCGGCAUGGGGGUCAUAAAGGAAGAGGCGAACGAUAUGCUCCCCGAAGACUAGUUGCUCCCAGCGGCGGCAGGUGGCAGCAGGGAUGAUGUGCUCCCGGAGACUAGUCGUUCCGGGCGGCGGCAGGUGGCAGCAGGGACGAUGUGUCUCCAAAGACUAGUCGUUCGCGGCGGCGGCAGGUGGCAGCAGGGAUGAUGUGUUCCUGAAGACGUCGUCGCCAUAUCAAUGCAAUCACGAUGUGUUCACCGGCAUGGCCCACCUGGGAACAUUUAAUGAUAGGAAGUCAUUGCCAUGCAGGAAUUUCAUGUCGCUUUAAUGUCAUAAUCAUCGCCAUGUUAUGUGUAGUACCCAUUGCAUUGUACCACCCCUCGACCCCUCGCAUUGUAUUGUUUUAUCUCAAGUGUUUCAGCGGUCCCGACCUGCUGUGUAGGUCUCACGCUGUGUGGAGUGCUCAGUCCCGUUGUUCAACUGUUGUGCUUCCGUGAGUUUGUAAAAAGCCUUGAGAAUUUGUAUUUACGUUGCGGGCAGGGUACAGACCACCAACAGCGCGGUACUAUUCCUUGUUGUGCACGCGAAACCCAGCCUGAAAGUGAACGUCCACUUGGCGUUGCCUGCUGCUCGUAGGGCAUAGCGCCUUCACUCGCAACGAUAUGUGUGCUGUGAUUAUUCUAUUGGUUCGUAUCUAGUGGUUAGUUUGUUCAUGAGUUUUCGUUGGUUAAUUGCGCGUUUAGCACUGAACCGACGUGUGGAAAUCCAUUAUAGCGUUUGCGAUGUGUGAUGGUUCUCAUUUAGGCUGGUAGUAUUUACUCUUGUGGAUCCUCGCACCGAAUGUUUAUUCUCAGGUUAGUUUAUGCACGAAGCGUUUGAGUGUCCUCUGGACCGUCCUGUACCGGUCCGGUGGAGGUAUUUCGGCGCCCGGUCGAAUGUGCACCAGGACUGUUUUACUGCGCGAAAUUGUUCUCAGCUCUUUACCGUAUGACACAUUGAACUCAAAUUUCGACUGUUCGGAUUAUCAUUUCAGCAAAAGUGAAUGAUGGUUUCACGUCUCACGAGCUUUAAUGCAAUCCUCGUUCUUAGACGUCCUCGACAUCGUUUAACCUUAGGUUAAGUAUGCUUUCACGGUUCCCUUUCAGCCCCGCGUGUGGUUGUCACUCCGCGGUCUCAGGGUUUAGUCUUUAAUAAACUUAAACGAGCUGUA
Long non-coding RNA from Pollicipes pollicipes, 1327 nucleotides. RefSeq lists it as uncharacterized. The transcript has 2 exons. The record is from RefSeq and is a predicted model, not a curated record. NCBI's taxonomy places the organism in Eukaryota, Metazoa, Arthropoda, Thecostraca, Pollicipedomorpha, Pollicipedidae.